RNAcentral lists this ribosomal RNA (2898 nucleotides) under Escherichia coli. Its description in RNAcentral is "bacterial LSU rRNA". It matches the Rfam family "Bacterial large subunit ribosomal RNA". The record is from RNAcentral. Lineage: Bacteria; Pseudomonadati; Pseudomonadota; Gammaproteobacteria; Enterobacterales; Enterobacteriaceae.
UUAAGCGACUAAGCGUACACGGUGGAUGCCCUGGCAGUCAGAGGCGAUGAAGGACGUGCUAAUCUGCGAUAAGCGUCGGUAAGGUGAUAUGAACCGUUAUAACCGGCGAUUUCCGAAUGGGGAAACCCAGUGUGNCACACUAUCAUUAACUGAAUCCAUAGGUUAAUGAGGCGAACCGGGGGAACUGAAACAUCUAAGUACCCCGAGGAAAAGAAAUCAACCGAGAUUCCCCCAGUAGCGGCGAGCGAACGGGGAGCAGCCCAGAGCCUGAAUCAGUGUGUGUGUUAGUGGAAGCGUCUGGAAAGGCGCGCGAUACAGGGUGACAGCCCCGUACACAAAAAUGCACAUGCUGUGAGCUCGAUGAGUAGGGCGGGACACGUGGUAUCCUGUCUGAAUAUGGGGGGACCAUCCUCCAAGGCUAAAUACUCCUGACUGACCGAUAGUGAACCAGUACCGUGAGGGAAAGGCGAAAAGAACCCCGGCGAGGGGAGUGAAAAAGAACCUGAAACCGUGUACGUACAAGCAGUGGGAGCCUCUUUAUGGGGUGACUGCGUACCUUUUGUAUAAUGGGUCAGCGACUUAUAUUCUGUAGCAAGGUUAACCGAAUAGGGGAGCCGAAGGGAAACCGAGUCUUAACUGGGCGUUAAGUUGCAGGGUAUAGACCCGAAACCCGGUGAUCUAGCCAUGGGCAGGUUGAAGGUUGGGUAACACUAACUGGAGGACCGAACCGACUAAUGUUGAAAAAUUAGCGGAUGACUUGUGGCUGGGGGUGAAAGGCCAAUCAAACCGGGAGAUAGCUGGUUCUCCCCGAAAGCUAUUUAGGUAGCGCCUCGUGAAUUCAUCUCCGGGGGUAGAGCACUGUUUCGGCAAGGGGGUCAUCCCGACUUACCAACCCGAUGCAAACUGCGAAUACCGGAGAAUGUUAUCACGGGAGACACACGGCGGGUGCUAACGUCCGUCGUGAAGAGGGAAACAACCCAGACCGCCAGCUAAGGUCCCAAAGUCAUGGUUAAGUGGGAAACGAUGUGGGAAGGCCCAGACAGCCAGGAUGUUGGCUUAGAAGCAGCCAUCAUUUAAAGAAAGCGUAAUAGCUCACUGGUCGAGUCGGCCUGCGCGGAAGAUGUAACGGGGCUAAACCAUGCACCGAAGCUGCGGCAGCGACGCUUAUGCGUUGUUGGGUAGGGGAGCGUUCUGUAAGCCUGUGAAGGUGUGCUGUGAGGCAUGCUGGAGGUAUCAGAAGUGCGAAUGCUGACAUAAGUAACGAUAAAGCGGGUGAAAAGCCCGCUCGCCGGAAGACCAAGGGUUCCUGUCCAACGUUAAUCGGGGCAGGGUGAGUCGACCCCUAAGGCGAGGCCGAAAGGCGUAGUCGAUGGGAAACAGGUUAAUAUUCCUGUACUUGGUGUUACUGCGAAGGGGGGACGGAGAAGGCUAUGUUGGCCGGGCGACGGUUGUCCCGGUUUAAGCGUGUAGGCUGGUUUUCCAGGCAAAUCCGGAAAAUCAAGGCUGAGGCGUGAUGACGAGGCACUACGGUGCUGAAGCAACAAAUGCCCUGCUUCCAGGAAAAGCCUCUAAGCAUCAGGUAACAUCAAAUCGUACCCCAAACCGACACAGGUGGUCAGGUAGAGAAUACCAAGGCGCUUGAGAGAACUCGGGUGAAGGAACUAGGCAAAAUGGUGCCGUAACUUCGGGAGAAGGCACGCUGAUAUGUAGGUGAGGUCCCUCGCGGAUGGAGCUGAAAUCAGUCGAAGAUACCAGCUGGCUGCAACUGUUUAUUAAAAACACAGCACUGUGCAAACACGAAAGUGGACGUAUACGGUGUGACGCCUGCCCGGUGCCGGAAGGUUAAUUGAUGGGGUUAGCGGUAACGCGAAGCUCUUGAUCGAAGCCCCGGUAAACGGCGGCCGUAACUAUAACGGUCCUAAGGUAGCGAAAUUCCUUGUCGGGUAAGUUCCGACCUGCACGAAUGGCGUAAUGAUGGCCAGGCUGUCUCCACCCGAGACUCAGUGAAAUUGAACUCGCUGUGAAGAUGCAGUGUACCCGCGGCAAGACGGAAAGACCCCGUGAACCUUUACUAUAGCUUGACACUGAACAUUGAGCCUUGAUGUGUAGGAUAGGUGGGAGGCUUUGAAGUGUGGACGCCAGUCUGCAUGGAGCCGACCUUGAAAUACCACCCUUUAAUGUUUGAUGUUCUAACGUUGACCCGUAAUCCGGGUUGCGGACAGUGUCUGGUGGGUAGUUUGACUGGGGCGGUCUCCUCCUAAAGAGUAACGGAGGAGCACGAAGGUUGGCUAAUCCUGGUCGGACAUCAGGAGGUUAGUGCAAUGGCAUAAGCCAGCUUGACUGCGAGCGUGACGGCGCGAGCAGGUGCGAAAGCAGGUCAUAGUGAUCCGGUGGUUCUGAAUGGAAGGGCCAUCGCUCAACGGAUAAAAGGUACUCCGGGGAUAACAGGCUGAUACCGCCCAAGAGUUCAUAUCGACGGCGGUGUUUGGCACCUCGAUGUCGGCUCAUCACAUCCUGGGGCUGAAGUAGGUCCCAAGGGUAUGGCUGUUCGCCAUUUAAAGUGGUACGCGAGCUGGGUUUAGAACGUCGUGAGACAGUUCGGUCCCUAUCUGCCGUGGGCGCUGGAGAACUGAGGGGGGCUGCUCCUAGUACGAGAGGACCGGAGUGGACGCAUCACUGGUGUUCGGGUUGUCAUGCCAAUGGCACUGCCCGGUAGCUAAAUGCGGAAGAGAUAAGUGCUGAAAGCAUCUAAGCACGAAACUUGCCCCGAGAUGAGUUCUCCCUGACUCCUUGAGAGUCCUGAAGGAACGUUGAAGACGACGACGUUGAUAGGCCGGGUGUGUAAGCGCAGCGAUGCGUUGAGCUAACCGGUACUAAUGAACCGUGAGGCUUAACCUU